Culex quinquefasciatus (southern house mosquito) is the source of this 3134-nucleotide RNA transcript. RefSeq lists it as uncharacterized. NCBI's taxonomy places the organism in Eukaryota, Metazoa, Arthropoda, Insecta, Diptera, Culicidae. The record is from RefSeq and is a predicted model, not a curated record. The transcript is spliced from 8 exons.
CUGCCAUAAAACGCUUGAGUAGGCAAUAAAAAAAGAAAAUAUAAGCAAACGAUAAUAAGUGAAGCUUUUGGUGGAGGAAAAUCGGACUUUUUUGUAUGAUUAUCGAAAAACAUGUUGAUCAAACCAUCCUUUGGUUGUAGCUCUAAAUUGAAAAUACUUGCAUUGUCCAAGUUAUAUGAUCAGCUGAUUUUUGCGUAAGGACGGCUGUAUAAAAUCUGAGGAAAAAUGAAAACCACGACAACUACAGCAAAAAACUGGCUACAAGACGUUAAGUGUUUGAUUGCUAAUCAAAGAUUAUCGAUAUAUUUCAAUAACAAGAAAACACUGUUGAAAUUAAUCUACUCCAAAACAAAACGAAGCUGGAUUGAAAAAAAUAAUUUAUUUUGUUACAAAGAAAAUAUCAAUUACUUUUGAUUGUGACAAGAUAACAUAUAGGAUUAGAGAGUUUUAAGCUUUAAACUAACAUUAACCUUAAGGUAAAAUGGCUGAACAGGAAAGAUCACCAUUGUUAACGCAACAGGACCCAAUGCUCGCCAGUUCCUCGUCUAAAGAGGACCAGUCCCUGGAAGCGUCGCAUGAGAACAAACACCCGCUUGAAUCCGAUACAGCCUUAUUGCUUGAAGAGUUUUCUGAGAAAUCUGUUAAAUUUAAGGUAAAAUUAGAUAUAACCGGUAAAGGUGACUCCUAUGAAAUUUCAGACGUACUAAACCGAAUAUACACGAGUACGGAUCGAUCGAUAACGUUUGACAUAGUUUAUAAGCCUGAGCAUGGCUCCAAUCUAAGCGUAAGAAUCAUGCUUGUCGGGUCGAAUCUUUUAAACCAUCCGUUGGCGCGUUGCUCUUACCAUCGCAAAGGAGACAACACGACGUUCAAAGAUCACGUGGUUCGUCACAAGGAUGCCUCGGCAGAAUACGUCGGAACGGCCACCGGAAUGCUCUACCCGGAACGUCUGGCCAUUCUUGUUCCGCUAGAUCAGUCCGGUCUGAAAAGCAUUUCCUUAGAUUUCGUGUGUCUCAACUCAUGCCACAAAAUUCGCAAGCUCAAACUAGCUCUGGUGUUCACCUUGGAAGAUCAGGACGACAAAAAAAUCGUAGGCCGUCAAAUAUUUCAUCUACAAGUUUCGAAAAACUUCAAACGAGACAUGGAAGUGGCCGAAAAAGGUCCACCUUCAAAACGUCCUGCGACCGAACUGCCAGACGAUACCGCAUCUCCGAACAAGCAAUCGCAUCGAGAGCAAUCAACCUCAGCUCAACCUUCGUCGUCCAGGAUUCCAGCAGCACGCAGCACGGAAGAGCGGCCAGAUUCCAUCGCGAUGAAUUUAAAUUUGCCACACAGUGCUGCGCAAGAGUUUCUACAAUACUCUAGGCAAUUUUUCGAAGCAAAAUUAUACCGAGCUAACGAGCAAGAAAAAAGCGAACUCCUUCCCUGUCUGGACAACAUCUGUAAGGUUUUAGCCCUUCCAGAUUUGAAAUCGGAGGGAAAAAAGGAUGAGCACUAAAAUGUAACAGACCUCAGGGCCCGAGGAACACCACCAGAAAUCAUGAUGAGUUGAGUUUUUCUUCAGUUACACGCAAAACGGACAUUAGGUAUAAAUGCCUAAAUUUUAGGUAUAAUCGAACCUGACUGCAAUAAGAUUACGGGAACAAAAGAGCUAUACUUGCCAACCAGCGUAAUUAUGAGCAGCGGAGCCAAUCCAAAAAAAGACGCAUCGUUAGACCCUCCUGUUCCGGUGAAUGAAAUGGGAAAAGUUAACCUUAACAAGUCGACUCCAGCGGUCGCGAACCAAGGUUCUCAACCUCAGCCGUCCGGAUCGGAACGGAUCGAAAUCCAGCUUCGCAUUCCCGACCAACACAUGGCGAAGCAGAUUAUGGACAAAACCAUCGCACUGUUGCAGAAAACUGCAGACGAAACUGCGGAUCCGAAUGAAAAAGAGCAGGCACUGCAGUGCAUUCAACUCAUUCGACGAGACAAUCCCCAACUUGCUGCCCUUGGCAAGCCUGGCUUCUAAAGCAGAAGCUAAAGGGGAAAGCAGAUUUCAUGAGUUUCUUAAAGGUGCAAAAUUUACGUCAAAAUAUCACAGCAUGAAAAGUAUCCAAUGUGCCCUUCGACGCUAGGCAUGAUCUCACUGAUUGAUCUGGUAUCAGCAUGAGUCAGCUUUUGUUUUAGCUAACGUUUUGCUGAUUUUCAUAUGGUAUUUGUUUUUGAUGAAGUUUUUCAUCGCUUAACUCACAUCUCUUCUGAAUUCAGCUUAAUGUUAAGAAAGAAGCUAUUUUGGUCCCCUGCAAAACUUAUUUUGAUCUCACAAGUUUCAAUGGCCAGUUGCAGCGCAAUUGCAAAUUUGAACAUACAUCAUGUUAUUUCUUGACUUUUCAAGGAAACUAAAGUAGCUGGUGUGGUUUGGAAAUGCCAUUCGAAAGCUGCAACUCAUUGAAUAGAGUCAAAACAGGUUUUGCGGCUCUAGACAUAAAAAAUGGACUUCUUUUAAAAGAAAACUGUCAAAAAAAAUGUUGAAUCAUCCGAAACUGAUGGAGGCUUACAGCUCGAUUGACAGUUUAGGCCCCAUACCUAAAAAUUUCGUUUAUUUGGCACAAAACAAGAAUAUUAAGGAAUUAUUGGGCAUGGAAUUUGUAGAUUGUAGGUUGUUGAGAGAAUGUUCAAAUAUUGCAAAUUAUUUUUGUUUACUCAUGUCACGUCUCAGGAAGAUCAACUCAAACUCCCCGUUUUGGUAAUCUAUGAACAGACUCGUUUUUUUUCUGGCAAUCCGGCUCGAUAUUUCUCACCAGGAUUUUUUACAUAACCAGACAAAAACAAGCUAGAAUCCAAUGUCAACUGAGCUAAACAAGGCCCAUCGCACUAGGAUAUAUUCGGGUCGAUAAGCGUUAUCAUGCCUUGCGUGGAAGGUGUUUGAAGUAACAUAUAAACAAUAACAAUUACGAUCCUAUAAAAAAAAACCUUAGGGAACGUUCAAAUAUUGCGUCCUUUAUAGUAAAAAGGGGGUGCUACUAAAAGAGUACGUGACAAGGACGCAAUAUUUAAAGGUACCGUAAGGUUGGUUCACAUAAAUUUGGUAUACAUUAAAGUUCUGUACAAAACAUAAACAAUUCUAAUCAAUAAAAUCGUGAAAACUGUUAAAA